This 324-nucleotide ribosomal RNA is filed under the name Triticum aestivum (bread wheat). Its description in RNAcentral is "partial small subunit ribosomal RNA". Lineage: Eukaryota; Viridiplantae; Streptophyta; Magnoliopsida; Poales; Poaceae. The record is from RNAcentral.
AUGGUGUACUACACAGUGUAUUUGAAGUUAGGAGUGUUUGGCAUCGACAAGGAUAAUAGUCUGGAGUUCUGUUGGGCCAUUUCAGGUCACCGCAGCCUUGAAUCUCUCACGGUGCAUUCAGCAGAAAGAGAUCUAUAUGACUGCCUGCAAGGCAUAGUAAUCUCACCUCCAGAAAAUCUCCGGAGCCUGAAGCUGCACGGCUGGCUGAGAAAAUUGCCAAAAUGGAUCAUUGUGCUCCGGAAUCUUGUGAAGAUCAAGCUAGAAUACACCGAGGUACAUUUUCCAGAGCGGGCUAUUCACAAGCCUCUUGGUACUCAGAGUUAG